UAUAAGCUAUUGAAUGAGAGUAGUAAUAAAGUCAAACUCAUUACAGGAAGCCGACGAAACUGAGAGUUCGGUAUGCAGUGAUUUUAUGAAUGGACUCAGGAGGCGCAACCCAAAACGUUGUACGGAGUAGGCGUUGCCGGAACUUUCACCGUUAAAAGAAAGCACGUAUCGAUAAUUCUGUACGUAGAGCUGGGCUUUAGCCAAAUUGGGUGGUACCGCGGAAUAAACUUUCGUCCCUUUA
RNAcentral lists this non-coding RNA (241 nucleotides) under Dialister sp. Its description in RNAcentral is "T-box sequence". It matches the Rfam family "T-box leader". Rfam says of the family: Uncharged tRNA acts as the effector for transcription antitermination of genes in the T-box leader family. T-boxes are found upstream of many aminoacyl-tRNA synthetase genes and some amino acid biosynthetic genes usually in Gram-positive bacteria. Lineage: Bacteria; Bacillati; Bacillota; Negativicutes; Veillonellales; Veillonellaceae. The record is from RNAcentral.